GGAUUAGGCAUGCAAGUCGAGCGACGGGCCCUCCUUCGGGGGGGAAACCGAGCGGCGAAAGGGUGAGUAAUGUAUGGACAACCUACCCGUGAGACGGGGAUAGCGUCUGGAAACGGGCGGUAAUACCCGAUGCCGUGAUCGGAUCGCAUGAUCUGAUCACGAAGGGAGGGGACCCUUCGGGGCCUACCGCUCAGGGAGGGGUUCAUAUCCUAUCAGCUUGUUGGUGAGGUAACGGCUCACCAAGGCAUUGACGGGUAGCCGGACUGAGAGGUUGGCCGGCCACACUGGGACUGAGACACUGCCCAGACUCCUACGGGAGGCUGCAGUCGAGAAUCAUUCGCAAUGGGCGCAAGCCUGACGAUGCGACGCCGCGUGGGGGAAGAAGGCCUUCGGGUCGUAAACUCCUGUCAUGGGUUAUGAAAUGCCGGCGGGAAAAUAUUCCGUCGGUUUGACAAAGGCCCAAGAGGAAGCCACGGCUAACUUCGUGCCAGCAGCCGCGGUAAUACGAAGGUGGCAAGCGUUGUUCGGAAUCACUGGGCAUAAAGGGUGCGUAGGCGGUCCGGGAAGUCGGGGGUGAAAUCCCUCGGCUCAACCGAGGAAUAGCCUUCGAAACUCCCGGACUCGAGUUCAGGAGGGGAGAGUGGAACUCUUGGUGGAGCGGUGAAAUGCGUUGAUAUCAAGAGGAACGCCGGCGGCGAAAGCGACUCUCUGGCCUGUAACUGACGCUGAUGCACGAAAGCCAGGGGAGCAAACGGGAUUAGAUACCCCGGUAGUCCUGGCCGUAAACGAUGGGCACUAAGUAGAGGGGUUUU
Molecule: ribosomal RNA, 812 nt
Filed under: uncultured bacterium
Lineage: Bacteria
Description: bacterial SSU rRNA
Rfam family: Bacterial small subunit ribosomal RNA
Source: RNAcentral